GUAAGUUGCAAGCCAGCCUGAUCUACAGAGGAAAACUCCAUCUCAAACCAGCACAGUAAAGGUUCUAUUUGCUGUGACAAUCAUUGCAUUCUCCUCCACUUUCUGAGAAGACUCCAACUUUGAAACAAGACUACCAGUACCCUUCUGGAUAUUGUAUCAUUGUAAAAAACAAUGGAAAUCCGAGAUGCUCCCAGCAAAAAAGAGAGAGCAAAGAAAAAGUGGUCCUGAAUGAUAAUCAAUGUGUCAGGCAUUCAUGAGCUCUGCCCUUACCUUGUGUGGGCCUAAUUAAAAAAAUAUUCACUGGAA
This is a non-coding RNA of Myodes glareolus (Bank vole), 306 nucleotides long. The record is from RefSeq and is a predicted model, not a curated record. NCBI's taxonomy places the organism in Eukaryota, Metazoa, Chordata, Mammalia, Rodentia, Cricetidae.